Podarcis lilfordi (Lilford's wall lizard) is the source of this 73-nucleotide non-coding RNA. Lineage: Eukaryota; Metazoa; Chordata; Lepidosauria; Squamata; Lacertidae. The record is from the annotation of a GenBank genome assembly.
UGGGGUAGCUCAGUUGGGUAGAGCGUGGUGCUGAUAAUGCCAAGGUUGCAGGUUCGAUCCCCAUACGGGACAA